GACGAACGCUGGCGGCGUGCUUAACACAUGCAAGUCGAACGGAAAGGCCCUGCUUUUGUGGGGUGCUCGAGUGGCGAACGGGUGAGUAACACGUGAGUAACCUGCCCUUGACUUUGGGAUAACUUCAGGAAACUGGGGCUAAUACCGGAUAGGAGCUCCUGCUGCAUGGUGGGGGUUGGAAAGUUUCGGCGGUUGGGGAUGGACUCGCGGCUUAUCAGCUUGUUGGUGGGGUAGUGGCUUACCAAGGCUUUGACGGGUAGCCGGCCUGAGAGGGUGACCGGCCACAUUGGGACUGAGAUACGGCCCAGACUCCUACGGGAGGCAGCAGUGGAGAAUAUUGCACAAUGGGCGGAAGCCUGAUGAAGAAACGCCGCGUGCGGGAUGACGGCCUUCGGGUUGUAAACCGCUUUCGCCUGUGACGAAGCGUGAGUGACGGUAAUAGGUAAAGAAGCACCGGCUAACUACGUG
RNAcentral lists this ribosomal RNA (468 nucleotides) under uncultured bacterium. RNAcentral's name for it is "partial 16S ribosomal RNA". It matches the Rfam family "Bacterial small subunit ribosomal RNA", at positions 28 to 507 of the family's 1533-position model. The record is from RNAcentral.